GAAGCAGGCCGCCUUAUCGUUUCUGCAUUAGCAGAAGAGGAAAGUCCGGGCACCAUAGGGAAGCAUAGCGGCUAACGGCCGUCGCUCUUUUUAGCUUCGGUUAAAGAGGGUAGGACAAGUGCAGCAGAAAGUAUGUACAGGUAAUGCUGUAGUGAAACCAGGUAAACUCUAUGCGGUGAAAUGUCACGUAAACCUACGUUUAAGGGUUCCCGCCCGUUGUAGGAGGGUAGGCAGAUUGAGUGUAUUGGUAACAAUACAUCUAGAUAAAUGAUAAGGACUUGAAUUUAUUUGAGUACAGAACCCGGCUUAUAGGCCUGCUUUUUUU
This 325-nucleotide RNase P RNA is filed under the name Ulvibacter litoralis. RNAcentral describes it as "Bacterial RNase P class A". It matches the Rfam family "Bacterial RNase P class A". From Rfam's summary of the family: Ribonuclease P (RNase P) is a ubiquitous endoribonuclease, found in archaea, bacteria and eukarya as well as chloroplasts and mitochondria. The record is from Rfam by way of RNAcentral. Lineage: Bacteria; Pseudomonadati; Bacteroidota; Flavobacteriia; Flavobacteriales; Flavobacteriaceae.